RNAcentral lists this microRNA (23 nucleotides) under Caenorhabditis brenneri. RNAcentral describes it as "cbn-miR-55". Its record names the gene cbn-miR-55. Lineage: Eukaryota; Metazoa; Nematoda; Chromadorea; Rhabditida; Rhabditidae. The record is from miRBase by way of RNAcentral.
UACCCGUAUAUAUUUCUGCUUAG